GGCAAGUUUAAAGCCGUUGUACAGAAGCCGCCGACCCUAGCAAAAGAUGGCGGAAAAGGCUUCGGGAGUGAAGCGGGUGAAAAGGGCUUCGGGAGUGAAGCGGGUGAAAAAAUUUCAUGGUGAUCUCCCACUCAGCUACAUACUGGAUCUGACCCUAUUUAGCAUUUUCAAGACCAGGUUGACUAGAUGCUGCCAUCUGCUGUAAAGGCAUCGACAUACUCCAACCCAACUUAAUGAUAUUGUCAUGGUGGGCUCAGAUUUGAGUCAGAGGAGGGAACAGAAAAUGAUCAGCCAGAGCCAGCUUCAGAAGUGUUGACAAACAACAAGCAGCCAGUCCAGGUACCACCAGACAGACCGCUGCCUGAGCAAGCAAAGGAGUGUGGAUGAAGGUUGAAGUGCUGGAUUAGAAGCAGAGAUCUACGUUUUGGUCCUUCUUAGCUGGUGGAGUCUGAAAGAAGGUCUGACAUGUGGCACCAAUCCAGAAGAACUCUGAAUGGCUUAUACUGCUCUCUUUCAGUAAAAAAAAAAAGAUUAAAAAGAGAAACAAAAACAAAGCAAAACAAUGAGCAACUGCAGCUGAAAUUUCAAAAUGUUUCAUAUCUGAGGAACAUUAUGGUUGUUUAAUACAGUUAAGCAAAAGAGCUACAUAUU
Pantherophis guttatus is the source of this 651-nucleotide non-coding RNA. NCBI's taxonomy places the organism in Eukaryota, Metazoa, Chordata, Lepidosauria, Squamata, Colubridae. The record is from RefSeq and is a predicted model, not a curated record.